This 1220-nucleotide long non-coding RNA is filed under the name Monodelphis domestica (gray short-tailed opossum). Its description in RNAcentral is "lncRNA (ENSMODG00000033420.2)". The record is from RNAcentral. Lineage: Eukaryota; Metazoa; Chordata; Mammalia; Didelphimorphia; Didelphidae.
CCUCUCUUCAUUAUCUUCCUUCUCUUUUCCCUUCUUCCUCUUGUUCAGCACACUCUUUCUGCACUUGAACAUGAAGGGAUGAAUCUUCCUCCAUGGUCAGGAAAAGGUUGGCCUAUGAAGGUUACAUGGUACAUUUGAAACUUUGGGGGCCCGUUUUACAGGUAGAAUUAUGUGAUGUCAUCAGGAUCUCCCAGGCUCAUUGUCUGGAAUCUUCUGAGUCAUUUGAGCACAGAUACUUGGUUGAGAUGUUAAAAUAGAAAGGAUUUGGCAAAGGAAAAUCAUUGCUUAUUAGAGCUAAAGGAAUACCUACCUACUUGAUGUGGCCACUGAUGACAGUAGUCUCAGGAGAGUUGACAAGUUACUCUCAUCUCAUUCCCUCACCCAGGGGGAAUCAAUCAGCUCUCCCUUCCAGACACUUCACCAGGACCAGAAAGAUGGAAGCUGGUCCAACAACUUCAGUCAAGAAACGAGCUUCCCAAGAGAACUGGCAUGAAUCUGACUCAGAAGAAAGGGAGGGAAAGAAAAAGAAGAUCUAUGAAUGGACUGUAACCGAAGUGGGAGAUACUUGGAUUAAGAUGAAGCAUACAAAAGAAGCUUCCUUCAGCUCCAAAAACCUUGCUGCCCUCUCCCAACUUCUGAAGGAUCCAGUCAUUAAAAAAUUCCUUGCGACUGAUAUGAAAUGCUAUUCCACUAAUAAGGUAAGUAUAGUCCCCAGGGUUAAACCAUUAUGGGAAAAUAUAAAGCAUAGAAGAGUGUCUCAUGGGUAGCUUCGAGCCCUCGUAAGGAGAAUUAGUAAUAGAACGUGGCAAAUUAGAAUUCACUGGUUUCUCUCAAGAUGGUGCAACCAAGAGAAAGCAAAGAGGGACAUGGGGUUAGAAGUUGACCCUAGGAUGGCAGGCACUUACUUCCAGACCAUUUGUACUUCCUCUAUCAUUGUUCCCAAACCUUUGCUUUUUUUUUUUAAACCCUUACCUUCUGUCUUGGAGUCAAUACUGUGUAUUGGCUCCAAGGCAGAAGAGUGGUAAGGGCUAGGCAAUGGGGGUCAAGUGACUUGCCCAGGGUCACACAGCUAGGAAGUGGCUGAGGCCGGAUUUGAACCUAGGACCUCCCGUCUCUAGGCCUGGCUCUCAAUCCACUGAGCGACCUAGCUGCCCCCAGCCAAACCUUUGCUUUUUACUUCACCUGGUACCCCCACUCAACCUCCCUGAUUGUUCUUGCAC